Molecule: long non-coding RNA, 282 nt
Organism: Nycticebus coucang (slow loris)
Lineage: Eukaryota; Metazoa; Chordata; Mammalia; Primates; Lorisidae
Exons: 1
Source: RefSeq, a predicted model, not a curated record
AUGCGCGAGCUCCCUCGGGGCAGCCUGGCACGCAGGGGUGGUCACCUGGCCGGCAAGGAGGAAGGUCUCGGGGAGGGAGCCGGCUCGCAGGAGUCGGUUCCAGCGUGUUCGAGUUACAGCUGCGAGCCCUCAGGGACACCGGCGGCAAGUCCAGGCUUGCGGAGAGGGGAGCCAGUCCCGGGAGAGCGCAAGUCGCAGCGAGCCCGUGUGCGCGCCUGUGCGCGCGCCCCGCGACGGCGCAGGGGGAGGGGAGGCCGCAGCAGCCACUCAGAGGAACCGUAG